This 248-nucleotide long non-coding RNA is filed under the name Apteryx haastii (Great spotted kiwi). Its description in RNAcentral is "lncRNA (ENSAHAG00000017425.1)". Lineage: Eukaryota; Metazoa; Chordata; Aves; Apterygiformes; Apterygidae. The record is from RNAcentral.
CGUGGCGGUGGCGUGUCCCUGUGUCCCAUGAUGGUGGCAUGUCCAUGCCAGUGACACAUCCGUGUCUGUGACGGUGGCGUGUUGGCAUCCGUGUCCCAUGACGGUGACGUGGCCUUCGAGCGGGGCGGCGUGUGCGUGCACACGCGUGUGCGGCGGCCCUGGGCCCCCGAGGCGCCGCUGGCCGGCGUGCUGCGCCUCCUGGAGCGGCCCGGGGCAGUGACGCUGCAGUGGGAACCCCUGGAGCGGCC